RNAcentral lists this long non-coding RNA (453 nucleotides) under Lathyrus oleraceus (garden pea). Its description in RNAcentral is "Pisum sativum (pea) long non-coding RNA (PSAT_LNC018838)". Lineage: Eukaryota; Viridiplantae; Streptophyta; Magnoliopsida; Fabales; Fabaceae. The record is from RNAcentral.
ACUUACAACAACCCUUCAUUUGUAAGCACAAUAUCAUUAUAUUUUCUACAUACUAUCUUCCAAGCUAUUUUGUCAUCUAAUUCGUUAUAGUUGGUUGCAAUGAAGCAUUACACUUUCAUUUUUUUUUCUUCUUUUUUUUCAUUAAUUUCGCUGACCUCACUCCAACAUAUUCUUUGAAGAUACCAAGGUAAGGUUUAAGAUUGUCUGGUUAUACAUACUUAAAUUCGUCCACCACACAUGUGUUAAAUAUUUGCCACCCUUAAUAUUUAUUAUUAUUUUUUCUAACCAAAGGUUGAUUUUGUUUGAAAACUAACCUGACCACACUAUCUUGCACCUUUGGUUUCGACUAUCAUUAAAGACGUGAAAACGUUUUAUUAUAAACAGAUUUUGGAUCACUUCAACUUUAAUCCAGAAAGCUAUUGUAUAUUUGAUCAACGAUACAUGAUCAAUUUU